CCGAAUCCCAAGUGGCACUGAGGUAAGAUCACCCCCCACUAAACUCACACACCACAUAAUCCCACCCACACAUACAUACACAACCAAUCACACAAAUCUAUCCCCACACUCAUACAUGUGCCCUUGUCCGCUUAGCUGCGCUAUCUCCCCAGGACCUGAACAAUGGUUAGUUACUGUUACGAUGUCAGCCCUAUGUUGUCCCUUGUUUGGCCAAAGGUGCCAGGGAUCUUAACCAUGUUCUCCUACUGCUUUAUGCAGGGCCGGUGCAAGGAUUUCCUCCGCCCCAGUCAAAGAUCCAUUUUGCCGCCCCCCUCAUGUCACUCACAGAGGAGGAGUAUGUUGAAUGUAUUGCUUAUCUGUGCC
Molecule: non-coding RNA, 363 nt
Organism: Pelobates cultripes (western spadefoot toad)
Lineage: Eukaryota; Metazoa; Chordata; Amphibia; Anura; Pelobatidae
Source: the annotation of a GenBank genome assembly